GGAUAGCGUACUGUAUCAGACCAUGCCUGUUCUAAAGGGCAAAGCCAUGCAGCAUCUACCGUCCACAGCUUUGCUAACCCAGCAAUUACAAACUAUUUAAAAACAAACAAAACCACCCUAUUGACUGGUCACUGUAUUGCUCUCAGUGAAAGUGAUGCAAAAACCAACUUUACUCUUUCUGUCCUGCUUAUAUGAAAUGCUUUAGAAAAACUUGUACGGGAUGCAAUCCUUUCAUGACACACACAUCUGAUAAGUACUUAAUAAUGACUGUCAUAGAGUAAACGUAGAAUGGUCUGUUAUUCCUUUGAGGCCCCAUUUGGCAAAUGAAGCAGGAGAUAAAGGACCAAUUUCUACUUCAUAUCCUAACCACACUGGUUAUGAAGUUAGUGUGAUGUCCCAGAUUUCACAGUGUUUUGGAUAUAUUGGCCAUGCAGGAAGCUUUAAGAAGUUGUGAGGUUGGGUCUUUUUUCUACUUUCAAAUGCAGCGAAAUUCAUUUUAUUGAUAACCAAUUAACUACUGCUGAGAUGCUGCCAAAAAUCUGUGACUGCGUGGACAGCUGAUGUGCAAAUUUCUAGCUGGCAUCACCAGCCAUCUUUCAUUCUUGCCUCCUAUCUGGGUUUUAAAAGAAUUUCCCAAAAUAAAGCUGACUUACUCACAACUUGAAAUGUAGUGAUCCUUUAAGGCUGCAAAAUAUUUGUGCUUUUGCCAUGUGCAUUCUCAUGGAAUUGCACCUUUCUUUGUUUUGGAGGAGCAUGAAAGUGCAAUCGGUAAUUCGAAAGCAUUUAUCAUGCUGUAGAAUAGUUCAAAAGUGGCCUAUUAAACAUAAAGCCUUUUUCUUGCAUUUUAUACAUAAUUGACUCCAUUCGGUUUCUAAAUAUGGAAAGUUGAGUCUCUAGAACAUGUGAAUUCUAAUGUUACUUUUAUGAUAGCAGCAAAUCUCUUUUGUAAAGAUGAUUUGGUUAAACAACCAAACUUAUGUCAUCUAAAGAAAUUUCAGUUCAAGUGUAUGUGUUUUCUCAGAAUUGCGUCUUCAUGACCUGCUGAAGGCGAGGACAUCAGGCUCAGAGUGUUUGGUGGACUUGGCCGUCAAAUGGGCAGGAUUGCAAGUCGUAUUAAUACCUGGGCGUGGCUACCGGAUCUGCCUGACACUACUGGACCCACGCCAGCCUCAGCGCUGCUGCAGUCUUCUGCUGGGGCUUGACAGCGAGGGUAAAUACAGAGUGUCCGAGUGUGAGCCGACCCUAGCCAGCUUGGAUGGACUUCUGAAAGAGCUGAGGCGAACCUGCAACCUGUUACAGUUUGUGCGUCAUGUGCGACAGCAGUUCAAGAACCUGUUACUUGCACAUCCAGUGGAGCCCUCUGAUGAGCCAGCGCAGAUUGUUGAUGAGCACCAAGAAGCAGUGGCCAAGAUCACAUUCAACCUGUCCAACUUUGGAGUCGGUUGGAGUGCGCAGCGGGCUCGCGCAGCACAUAAGCCCAGAUUGGCUCGCACAAACCUGUUGG
Molecule: long non-coding RNA, 1504 nt
Filed under: Dermacentor andersoni
Lineage: Eukaryota; Metazoa; Arthropoda; Arachnida; Ixodida; Ixodidae
Description: uncharacterized LOC126543053
Source: RNAcentral